AGUGAACGCUGGCGGUAGGCCUAACACAUGCAAGUCGAACGGUAGCACAGUAAGAGCUUGCUCUUACGGGUGGCGAGUGGCGGACGGGUGAGGAAUACAUCGGAAUCUACUUUUUCGUGGGGGAUAACGUAGGGAAACUUACGCUAAUACCGCAUACGACCUACGGGUGAAAGCAGGGGAUCUUCGGACCUUGCGCGAUUGAAUGAGCCGAUGUCGGAUUAGCUAGUUGGCGGGGUAAAGGCCCACCAAGGCGACGAUCCGUAGCUGGUCUGAGAGGAUGAUCAGCCACACCGGAACUGAGACACGGUCCAGACUCCUACGGGAGGCAGCAGUGGGGAAUAUUGGACAAUGGGCGCAAGCCUGAUCCAGCCAUACCGCGUGGGUGAAGAAGGCCUUCGGGUUGUAAAGCCCUUUUGUUGGGAAAGAAAAGCAGCAGGUUAAUACCCCGCUGUUCUGACGGUACCCAAAGAAUAAGCACCGGCUAACUUCGUG
Molecule: ribosomal RNA, 492 nt
Filed under: uncultured bacterium
Lineage: Bacteria
Description: partial 16S ribosomal RNA
Rfam family: Bacterial small subunit ribosomal RNA
Source: RNAcentral